AUAAUCUUCAAAAGUUUGAUCAAUUUCAGCUUGUGAAUUCAUCACAAAAGGACCAUGUUGAACCACUGAUUCAUUAAUAGGUUGUCCACCUAAUAAAACAAAUCUUAAUGGUUUUGAAGAUUUGUUCCACACACUAAGUCCUUCUCCAGGGCCUAAAACCAAGCAAUGGUGAGCUGAUACAGGACCUGAAUUUGGAAUUCCGAAUACGCCUUCUCCUUCAACUAUAUACACGAACGCGUUCCAAGAUUCAGGAGUGGGUUGAUGAUAAUAAGAUGUUGGUUGUAGGGUGAAAUCGAGGUACAUUGUAGGCGUUCGUGUAUAAACUGGAGAUUGAACUCCCAUUGCUUCACCUGCUAUGAUUUUUACUUCAACCCCUUCAUUUUCUGCUGUUGGUAUGUCCUCAUUCAGUAGUUCUUGAUACCUUGGCUCA
This 430-nucleotide long non-coding RNA is filed under the name Nicotiana benthamiana. Its description in RNAcentral is "long non-coding RNA (NBEN_LNC029141)". Lineage: Eukaryota; Viridiplantae; Streptophyta; Magnoliopsida; Solanales; Solanaceae. The record is from RNAcentral.